AGCGAACGCUGGCGGCAGGCUUAACACAUGCAAGUCGAGCGGGCACUUCGGUGUCAGCGGCAGACGGGUGAGUAACACGUGGGAACGCACCCUUUGGUUCGGAAUAACGCUGGGAAACUAGCGCUAAUACCGGAUACGCCCUUUUGGGGAAAGGCUUGCUGCCGAAGGAUCGGCCCGCGUCUGAUUAGCUAGUUGGUGGGGUAAUGGCCUACCAAGGCGACGAUCAGUAGCUGGUCUGAGAGGAUGAUCAGCCACACUGGGACUGAGACACGGCCCAGACUCCUACGGGAGGCAGCAGUGGGGAAUAUUGGACAAUGGGCGCAAGCCUGAUCCAGCCAUGCCGCGUGAGUGAUGAAGGCCUUAGGGUUGUAAAGCUCUUUUGUCCGGGACGAUAAUGACGGUACCGGAAGAAUAAGCCCCGGCUAACUUCGUG
RNAcentral lists this ribosomal RNA (433 nucleotides) under uncultured bacterium. Its description in RNAcentral is "partial 16S ribosomal RNA". It matches the Rfam family "Bacterial small subunit ribosomal RNA", at positions 29 to 507 of the family's 1533-position model. The record is from RNAcentral.